This 468-nucleotide ribosomal RNA is filed under the name uncultured bacterium. RNAcentral's name for it is "partial 16S ribosomal RNA". It matches the Rfam family "Bacterial small subunit ribosomal RNA", at positions 28 to 507 of the family's 1533-position model. The record is from RNAcentral.
GACGAACGCUGGCGGCGUGCUUAACACAUGCAAGUCGAACGGAAAGGCCCUGCCUUUGUGCGGUGCUCGAGUGGCGAACGGGUGAGUAACACGUGAGUAACCUGCCAUUGACCUUGGGAUAACUUCAGGAAACUGGGGCUAAUACCGGAUAGGAGCUCCUGCUGCAUGGUGGGGGCUGGAAAGUUUCGGUGGUUGGGGAUGGACUGGCGGCUUAUCAGCUUGUUGGUGGGGUAGUGGAUUACCAAGGCUUGGACGGGUAGCCGGCCUGAGAGGGUGACCGGCCACAUUGGGACUGAGAUACGGCCCAGACGCCUACGGGAGGCAGCGGUGGAGAAUAUUGCACAAUGGGCGGAAGCCUGGAGCAGCAACGCCGCGUGCGGGAUGACGGCCUUCGGGUUGUAAACCGCUUUCGCCUGUGACGAAGCGUGAGUGACGGUAAUGGGUAAAGAAGCACCGGCUAACUACGUG